Molecule: ribosomal RNA, 416 nt
Filed under: uncultured bacterium
Lineage: Bacteria
Description: bacterial SSU rRNA
Rfam family: Bacterial small subunit ribosomal RNA
Source: RNAcentral
UGGGGAAUAUUGCACAAUGGGCGCAAGCCUGAUGCAGCGACGCCGCGUGAGUGAAGAAGUAUUUCGGUAUGUAAAGCUCUAUCAGCAGGGAAGAAAAUGACGGUACCUGACUAAGAAGCCCCGGCUAACUACGUGCCAGCAGCCGCGGUAAUACGUAGGGGGCAAGCGUUAUCCGGAUUUACUGGGUGUAAAGGGAGCGUAGACGGAAUGGCAAGUCUGAUGUGAAAGGCGGGGGCUCAACCCCUGGACUGCAUUGGAAACUGUUAUUCUUGAGUGCCGGAGAGGUAAGCGGAAUUCCUAGUGUAGCGGUGAAAUGCGUAGAUAUUAGGAGGAACACCAGUGGCGAAGGCGGCUUACUGGACGGUAACUGACGUUGAGGCUCGAAAAGCGUGGGGAGCAAACAGGAUUAGAUACCC